AGGGGUAUAGCUCAGUGGUAGAGUGCAUGCUUAGCAUGCACAAGGUCCUGGGUUCAAUCCCCCAUACCUCCA
This 72-nucleotide transfer RNA is filed under the name Camelus bactrianus (Bactrian camel). It matches the Rfam family "tRNA". From Rfam's summary of the family: Transfer RNA (tRNA) molecules are approximately 80 nucleotides in length. Their secondary structure includes four short double-helical elements and three loops (D, anti-codon, and T loops). The record is from Rfam by way of RNAcentral. Lineage: Eukaryota; Metazoa; Chordata; Mammalia; Artiodactyla; Camelidae. RNAcentral also lists the same sequence under 2 other names.